GGAGGGAUGGCCGAGUGGCUUAUGGCGGCGGUCUUGAAAACCGCUUCCCGUUUACCGGGACGGGGGUUCGAAUCCCUCUCCCUCCGCCA
Molecule: transfer RNA, 89 nt
Filed under: bacterium
Lineage: Bacteria
Description: tRNA-Ser
Rfam family: tRNA
About the family: Transfer RNA (tRNA) molecules are approximately 80 nucleotides in length. Their secondary structure includes four short double-helical elements and three loops (D, anti-codon, and T loops).
Source: RNAcentral